This 103-nucleotide transfer RNA is filed under the name Paxillus involutus ATCC 200175. It matches the Rfam family "tRNA". From Rfam's summary of the family: Transfer RNA (tRNA) molecules are approximately 80 nucleotides in length. Their secondary structure includes four short double-helical elements and three loops (D, anti-codon, and T loops). The record is from Rfam by way of RNAcentral. Lineage: Eukaryota; Fungi; Basidiomycota; Agaricomycetes; Boletales; Paxillaceae.
GCCUUGAUGGCUCAGUUGGCUAGAGCGCAGGUCUCAUACGAUUGUAUGACUGGAAGAAUUCCAGGUAAUCCUGAGGUCGCAAGUUCGAGCCUUGCUCAGGGCA